GAUGAAGAACGUAGCGAAAUGCGAUACGUAAUGUGAAUUGCAGAAUUCAGUGAAUCAUCGAGUCUUUGAACGCACAUUGCGCCCCCUGGUAUUCCGGGGGGCAUGCCUGUCCGAGCGUCAUUGCUGCCCUCAAGCACGGCUUGUGUGUUGGGCCUCCGUCCUCCUCCCGGGGGCCGGGCCCGAAAGGCAGCGGCGGCACCGCGUCCGGUCCUCGAGCGUAUGGGGCUUCGUCACCCGCUCUUGUAGGCCCGGCCGGCGCUUGCCGACACAUCAAUCUUUUUUCCAGGUUGACCUCGGAUCAGGUAGGGAUACCCGCUGAACUUAAGCAUAUCAAUAAGCGGAGG
This 344-nucleotide unclassified non-coding RNA is filed under the name soil metagenome. Its description in RNAcentral is "partial contains 5.8S ribosomal RNA, internal transcribed spacer 2, and large subunit ribosomal RNA". The stretch from base 1 to 120 matches the Rfam family "5.8S ribosomal RNA", at positions 35 to 154 of the family's 154-position model. The record is from RNAcentral.